GGUUCCGUGGUGUAGGGGUUAACAUGCCUGCCUGUCACGCAGGAGAUCGCGGGUUCAAAGCCCGUCGGGACCG
RNAcentral lists this transfer RNA (73 nucleotides) under Listeria monocytogenes. Its description in RNAcentral is "tRNA-Asp". It matches the Rfam family "tRNA". Rfam says of the family: Transfer RNA (tRNA) molecules are approximately 80 nucleotides in length. Their secondary structure includes four short double-helical elements and three loops (D, anti-codon, and T loops). Lineage: Bacteria; Bacillati; Bacillota; Bacilli; Caryophanales; Listeriaceae. The record is from RNAcentral.